This 393-nucleotide ribosomal RNA is filed under the name uncultured bacterium. Its description in RNAcentral is "partial 16S ribosomal RNA". It matches the Rfam family "Bacterial small subunit ribosomal RNA", at positions 523 to 918 of the family's 1533-position model. The record is from RNAcentral.
AUACGGAGGGUGCGAGCGUUAUCCGGAUUUAUUGGGUUUAAAGGGUGCGUAGGCUGUGCGUUAAGUCAGGGGUGAAAUGCCGUCGCUCAACGACGGAGCUGCCCUUGAUACUGGCGUGCUGGAGUACGGAUGCCGUUGGAGGAAUGAGUGGUGUAGCGGUGAAAUGCUUAGAUAUCACUCAGAACACCGAUUGCGAAGGCAUCUGACGAAUCCGUCACUGACGCUGAGGCACGAAAGCGUGGGGAUAGAACAGGAUUAGAUACCCUGGUAUUCCACGCCGUAAACGAUGAUGACUAACCGUCGGCGAUAGACAGCCGGUGGCCAAGCGAAAGCGAUAAGUCAUCCACCUGGGGAGUACGUCGGCAACGAUGAAACUCAAAUGAAUUGACGGGG